Molecule: unclassified non-coding RNA, 219 nt
Filed under: Hevea brasiliensis (rubber tree)
Lineage: Eukaryota; Viridiplantae; Streptophyta; Magnoliopsida; Malpighiales; Euphorbiaceae
Source: RNAcentral
UCCUCGUGGUGGUCAUCAUUCUAGAGGGCGAGGACACAGGGGAAGGGAUAGAGAGGAAGAUGAGUCACACCUUCUUACCCUAGAGGAAUGGGAAAGGAGAAAAACUGGUGCUAAUGUUUCUGCAGCUCGUAAUUUCCCUGAUGUUAGCCAAGAUGAGGAUCUUGCUAGACAGCUGCAACAUCAACUAGAUUUCGAAGAUUUGCAUGAACAAGAAGAUAG